This is a long non-coding RNA of Astatotilapia calliptera (eastern happy), 2092 nucleotides long. The record is from Ensembl. Lineage: Eukaryota; Metazoa; Chordata; Actinopteri; Cichliformes; Cichlidae.
UUCUCGUUAAUAUUUAGUAGCUGAAAAGAGUUGACCAAUGACUGCGAAGAUAUGAAGCUUCUUAUAAUAAUUUCACCAAAACCCGCCUCGUUUCCGAUGUUUGCCGAAUGUUGCCGAUGUGAAUUUCUUCCCUCUGAGCAAAAAUAAAAAAAAUCUCUCUUCCCUCGUUCGUCUCGCUGUGGAUCAGCCUGGGCUCUAAGAAAAGAGGCUCAGAGCUGAGGCCUGUAAAUGUCUGUAGUGAAACAGGGAAAAUAGUCGACAAAUAUUACAUUUUCACUUCAGAAACAUUGUUUAUUGGAUUAUAUUUCGAUCUCUUUUAAGAAAUGCGUCGACGUUUUGGCUUUUUGACUUGUGCAUUUUUGGAUCUCUGGGACUUUGAAUGCAAGCCUCAGACUCGACUGCGAGGGAUGGCUGCAUAUUGAACUGGAUUUUCCCGCACGCCCUUUAGGAAAGUCUCGGGAAAGCCUCAACUGCUUAUUUAACACCUGCUUCUCACCGGAUUUGGACUAUUUUCACUUAUAUCUGUAAUAUGCUCGCUUUGUAUUGAAUCAUAAUGUUAAAUUGUUGAUUCGCUUUAAAAUAUUUUUGUUAAAACGAGAAACCCUACAAAGGCCACGUUUCGAAAGCAGGCUGAAAUGGCGGUUAAGUUGCAUUAUUUGGCCACUAAUUUUACCGACGAACGGCGAGUGUUAUUUAAAGUGUAAUGGUUGCAACUCGUUUACAAGCCCGCUGAUUCCAUUUUUAAAUUUCUAGAGUUAUUAUUUGGCUUUCUUGGGUAAAGCAGUCGAUUGGUUAGCUUAACGUCGGACUAUUUACCAGCAAUGACGGUAUGUUCCCUGAUGUUUUUUGCCCUGCUAUUUCACGUACCAUCAACAGUUUAUUAUAUUUAUCCCAUAAUGGUAUUAUUAUAUCGUAGUGUUAAAAAGUGCCGUUAACGUGAGGCUCCCUGUGUUUUAGCCUUCUUCGGUUUAGCCCUGUAUUUGCCAUAAUGGCACAAAACGAUGUUUACCGGUUAAUUACUGGCUAAUGGUACCAUGCUUGUUUACAUGCUGAGGUUGUUGAAAACGCGUUGAUUUACUAUACCACCUUUAUUUUUGCUUUUCAAACGCUACCGUGAGGAAUAUAAUUAAGGCUAUCACAGUUAGCGCUCAACAUGGCGGUUGUAUGCUUCUUGUUGUGAACGAGAAAAGAUGGAGGUCUGGAAUAUUCUUGUUGGCUAACUUGACCAGUCAAAUACCCACGUAUUUGUUUUUAUAUUAAACCGCCGAACACAGUAUUAAAAUGAGCCCUGUGAAUAUUUUAGCUUUACUUUUAAAUCGUUAGGUUAUUUCAGAGGUAGAAAGUGCUCGUUUACGUUUGCCAGUGACGAUUUGAACACUGUCGACUCUUCGUCGGUGGAGAAAGUUGAAGCCAUUUUGCUAACAACGUGCAUAUUAGUCUGUUAUAGAAGAGGAAAUCUCUCUGUUUAGUCUGUAUGCGGAUGUAUAACCCUGAAUUUACUGUAAUUAGAACAAUGGGGUAUUAACCAACAUGUAUUAGAGUCAAACUGAGGUAAGCGUGUUAGAGCUAAAAUAUUAUAAGUGUCUUCAGUAGCUAAGAAUUGUCUUCAGCAUAAACAAUAGAUUAUGCUCAAAGGAAUCGACCGAAGUGACCAGUGUUUCCUGAGCAAAAUGAUACAAUGUCUUAAAUGUAAGCUCUUUGACAGCCACCAAUCCCAUUUGUCCCAUAAAAGCAACAGAGGGUUGUUUGGCAGUAGGUGCUCAGUAUUCGGUAUAGACCCUUUUACACAUUUUGUCUUCGUUUUGUCAAAAGAAGGUGGGAGUAAACGCCACAAGCAGUGUUUAAAUCCUUGUGUGGUUGCAUAAUCUAAAUCUGGUGUAGUGUUUUUACUGCAUGUAAUGCUGUUGAAGCAUUGUAUCAGGUUCUCCUGCCCAUUUUCCUUUUUUUCUAAAUAAAGAAACAUUUUUGAAACAACAGUAUGGACUGUUAAGUUUUAUUUUUACAUCCCACAUUUUCUUGUUUAAAAAAAAAUACCACAUGCAUGUUGCUGAAUGGGACCAAAUACCAGCACUGUGAACAUGCCUGUUUGCCA